GAAGGAGGAGUGGCCGAGUGAGCUAGAUUGGUAGUUGCAACUCAUCUUUCUGAAACGUCACAUCCAUAGUUUUUCUCCAUCGUCAUUUCCUCAAAUACAUGAAGAUCAAUAGCCGCUCCUGAUUCUUUCCUCUUCUUCAUCCCAUCUUUUCCACUAUGUUGGAUCUUAACCUCUCUGUCCACAACCACCACAACAUUCUACAACUUUCCGCCACCCAUACGGAAACUUCUACUGCCUUCAAUUCCUCCUCCAUCGCCGACGAUGACCCCUGCUUCAGCGCCCGACCUUUCGCCCACGCUUUCAGCAUUUUAACUAAUGACCCUACCAAAUCCUUUGACGAUGACGACGACGCCGGUGACCCUACCAUCCAGCUUUUUCCGCUCGACGGUAACUCUUCCGAUUCCAUGUCGCGGCAGUUUUUGGAUCUCGGGUGCAGGGAGAUGGUGCCUCAGUUGCAGCAGAGGCCCCAGGUCAAGAAGAGUAGGCGUGGGCCCAGGUCCAGAAGCUCGCAGUAUCGGGGAGUCACGUUUUACCGGAGAACUGGGAGAUGGGAAUCGCAUAUUUGGGAUUGUGGGAAACAAGUGUACUUGGGGGGAUUUGAUACUGCACAUGCUGCAGCUAGGGCAUAUGAUCGAGCUGCGAUCAAGUUCCGUGGGGUUGAUGCUGAUAUCAACUUUAAUGUGAGUGACUAUGAAGAAGACAUUAAGCAGAUGAGUAAUUUUUCAAAAGAAGAAUUUGUGCAUAUCCUGCGUCGCCAGAGCACUGGAUUCUCAAGAGGAAGCUCUAAAUUUAGAGGAGUGACACUGCAUAAAUGUGGGCGAUGGGAAGCUCGUAUGGGCCAGUUUCUGGGCAAGAAGUGAGAACCUCUUUGGUUUUGCAUAUAUCCAGAUUUUUUUCAGCCUUUUGUUUCUUUUCCUUAUAGUUUCCAAAGGUUACUGUUAUUUUUGUGUUAUUGUUGCAAGUUUCAAGAGCUAGAAAUAUGCAGGAUUGUAGUAAGACUAUGGAACCUGAUUUUGGUUUCAGGUAUAUGUAUCUUGGGCUAUUCGACAGUGAGAUAGAAGCUGCAAGGGCUUAUGACAAGGCUGCCAUAAAGUGCAAUGGAAGGGAAGCAGUCACCAACUUUGAGCCUAGUACAUAUGAAUGCGAAGUAAUGUUGGAGGCCAAUAGUGGAGGUACUAAUUGUUGUUGAAAACUCAGUUCAUCUUUGACUUCAACUAGGUGCUUUAUAUAUCAAUUUACAGUGAUAUAAUUUUGAUACAGAUGACAACCAAAACCUUGACCUAAACUUGGGAAUUGCUCCACCUGAUUUAUCUCAUAGCCAAAAGAUAAACAGAGAUACAGGUGUUUUCCAUUUUCAGAGUAACUGUGAUGGUAGAUCUGUUGACAGGGGGCCAACGGUAAUCUUGACAAUAAUUUUUAUGAUCUCAAAGUAAACUGUGUUUGUGAACCCUGCAGAAUUCUCUUCAUAGCUCCAUUGAACUUUUGGUUGAGGUCUUGGGAUUAGCUCACUUUUAUUAUUCUCUUACAGAUUCUAAACUCUGCUUCUGCAAAAUUGAAGUAUGAACUGCCGUAUAACCCUGCAAUGGCAUCUCAACACCCUCAUUUAUGGGGUGGCAUAGAUUCCAAUUUCUUUCCCAUCUCCAAUGUAAUUCCCUUAAUCUAAUUUCAUUUUCAAGUCACGCCUUUAGUUUUUCUCUGUUUGCUUUGCAAUAUGGAUUGUUUCAACUUUUAACCAAAUGAAUAUUUAUUUCAUGGUUACAAAAAAAUCUCUGUAUUCUCUAGUUGGGGCACAUGCAUAAACAUUCACGUGAAGUGAUUGUAGCAUCAUGCCAAUCAACUUGCAAAAUGAGCCUCAUGCAGUGUUGCUUAUAGCUAUGACACUGUAUCUUAACUUCAUAAGACAUGUCCAUUGACCAAUGUUUUUCGCUUAAUCACUGAAAGCUUUUUGGGUUCACAGCAAUUUAUUCACCAUUACUAAAUAUUACCAAUACAUAUUGCAUUUGUUUCCCCCUCUUAAUGACAAAGUUAACGGACAAGUUGUAGGAAAGAGCAAUAGAGAAGUGGGUGGAAGUAGAUUCGUUGCCAAAAUGGAUGUGGCAAACCCAAGGGGCAAAUCCACUGUCUCUCUUCUCCACUGCAGCAUCAUCAGGAUUCGCAUCUUCAACAAUUACUGCACCUGCAGCAACUGUUAGUCAACUUCAUUUUCCAAAUUCAACAAUUCUCUACCACCAAAUUUCUCCUUCUGUCGCCAACCCCAGCAACGUCUCUCAUUUCUAUUGUAGGAGCUGAAAGAUUAACAUAGCCACAGUCCAAAAACCUUUUCUUCGGUAUAGAAAAGAGAUGGGUGGGCAGAGAAUGAAAAAGCCAAGAAUGGUAAUCAAAUUCAUAUUUUCAAUAGCAAUAUUCCGCAUUUAUCUUUGUUGUAAAGCUCAUUAAACUGGAUAAUUUUGGCCUUGUUGGUUGGAGUAAAUCAUGAAAAUUUUUUUUGCUUAUGUAACCGUCCUGCCAUGCUAUGCCUGUGCUUUUAUUUGUUUGUAGCCCUAUUGGCAUCCAUCUUAUGCUUUGCAUGUUAGACCAAAGUUUAGAAAGUCAAGCUGCAUGUGAAUUCUUUCUGAGUUAACCAGACAGAAAAAAAGUGAAAAUUAAUUUCUCCAAGGCUUCAGGAGAAUGCUUUUGUUCUUAACAUUGGAGUACAAGUUGUUUUGAAAACUGUAGAUAAACCAAUGCUAAUUUGUAUCCCAGCAUGUUCAUGUUUACUAUUUAUUCUAGCAAUUAGCAUCAGUUUGGGUAAUUUUUUUUUUCCUCAGGAGAUCGUAUGGGUGAUCCUUCUUUGAUUCCCGAAUUAUUUAUGAACACAUGAACUGUAUAUUAUACUAUUAAUUGAAAUGAACUGCUCGAUUAAUUAUCCUGCUCUUUCCUUUCUCUGAUUCUAGGGUUUUGAUUCUCAUCUUAUUUCCCGAUAGAAAAUCAAU
Molecule: unclassified non-coding RNA, 2972 nt
Filed under: Hevea brasiliensis (rubber tree)
Lineage: Eukaryota; Viridiplantae; Streptophyta; Magnoliopsida; Malpighiales; Euphorbiaceae
Source: RNAcentral